Vespa mandarinia (Asian giant hornet) is the source of this 1956-nucleotide long non-coding RNA. The record is from RefSeq and is a predicted model, not a curated record. NCBI's taxonomy places the organism in Eukaryota, Metazoa, Arthropoda, Insecta, Hymenoptera, Vespidae.
UACUGAAAUACCAAUGGAGUUUAUCGUUAGAUUGUUCGAAUGAAUGUAUUAUUAUUAAUCUUAUUUAUGCCGGGGCAAGAACAACUGUUAUUCGAGGUAGAUCGGACAUAUCUUUCGCUUUUUGAAGAACAGGUGUAAGUUUAUAUUUUUUGAAAGCACAAGUUGACGGGAGGUUUGCGUGAGUGUCCGUAACAACGUGAUAGAAAACAAAGAUAAGUUUCUUGUCAAAAUGUUGCGAUCUACCUUCAAGUCGAUAUGAAUUGGCAAAAAGAUUACAGAUGAUUUCCAUGGCCAUAUUCGAGCGCGCUCGUCAAUAAUAGCAAUACAUUUCUUGGGGGUUAAGAACCUGUUCCUUCAAUAGUUUCGCGCGGAAAUGUUAAAGGAAUCUUUUCGUGGGGACUCAAUGACCUCGUGGUGACCGGAGGAAACGUUUGCUUUUGUGUCAAUGCCGUGCCAACGGACUUGAUACUAUUCGUUCAAACUAUGACGACGACGACGAAUACGAUGAUGACGACGAAUACGACGACGACGACGAGGAUGGAGGAUGGAGGAUCGGGGAUCGCGUAGUGACUCAGUUAACUAAUAUUAGAAGUUUCGAUGCUAGCGCCACCGAGACAUGCGGUUUCUCUUCGACUCGGCCGACUACGGGAGUCUUCGGCUGGUACGUUCUUUUCGAAUGAGUAAACACAGUGGAAUUCGACGCUUCAAGCGGACCUCGGCGCACAAGCUGACCGGGCUCAGCCUGCAGACAGGUGUAGCGCCAGCACCUGCUGUUGUUGUUGCUGCUGCUACUACUGCUGCUGCUGCCAGAACCUUCGUCGACGCAAGGAGACGAUAUUCUCACCUUUUUAACACCCUUAUAAAAUUUCUCGAAGAAUUCGUGAUGAUCUUAUCAUUUAAACGAUUAAUAAUUUAUUUAACGUUCAUUAUAACAACGAAGAAACGAAAUAUUUAUUGUGUUAACAUCUUCAAUGUGAAAGAUUGAAAUUUCUUAUAAAUCGAAAAAUUGAGAUAAGUACUGUUUUGAAAUGUAAUAUUUCGAGAAAGUUUGUCUCGAAAUUUCGAUGCAUUUAAUCAAUCGAUCUGUCGAUCGAUUUGUAGAUCGAUCGUUCGAUCGAAUGAAAAUUUCGAUUCUUAAAACGUAAUAUUCUUUAGUUUCUUCACAAUCGUGUAACAAGUAUUCAGGUGUAACUAUCCUGAAACGAGUCUUAUUUUUCUUUUAUAUAUUAUGUCGAUGUAUACAUUGUAUUUACAUUUCCCGAUUGUAAAGGGGAAGUGCCAACUUCAAGAGAAUGAAUAUAAUUUACCGGCAUUUCUGGAAUUCCUAGAUUUAGUAGGCUCAAUCGUGAUAAAAAUAAAGUUUCAAAAGUAACACCAUAUUUGUUGCAAAUAAAUUCGAUGAGUAAUAUGUAGAAAUCGUUCGAUACUUUAUAAUAGAAAUAUCUGAGGAAUAUUUAAAAUUUAGGUAACGAUCGAAUAAUCGGGUGAUAAUAAAAAUUCGCGGGCUUUCCUUCAGUAAACGCGGCAAUUUUUAAAUUGAUCGAAUCGUUGUUCCUGACCUAUAAAAAGAUAAGGGAGAUGGAAAGAAAGUUGAAAUAUUAGCGAAAAAAGGAAUGAAGGAAGAGAGAAAUAAAUAAAGAAAGAAAGUGAAAGACCGAGUGAGAGAGAAGGUGGCUAGAAAGGGUCAGAAACCGUCGCAGUUCGUCGGAGCCACCUACCUUUUCCCGAUUCGUUGAACCGGUUCGCCUUUACGACGAGACGGGUAACCGCCUUGCAAGGGGUCGCUGACGCAGAGCCUUCGUUAAGCUCGAUUCACGAGGUUGCACUUUGGCGUUUCGAUAAGAGAGCUUUUUGCCUGUACGCGUAAUCCACGUGCGAUCAGCGAAGCACACCGUAUGAGAGAGAGAGAGAGAGAGAGAGAGAGAGAGAGAGAGAGAGAGAGAAAAAAGAGAGAGA